UUUCCUUUUGGUUGAUUUCUCUCAAUAGGCUAAAGGCAGCAGCACAUUUCUGUGUUUGUAGUUGAAGAAACUACUAUGUUUUGGAGGAAAGGAAGAGGUAACUUGAUUAAAGAAGGAGCUUCCCUGGCUGGAGUUUGCAAGUCUCAAUUGGAAGAACAAUGAAGACACUUUUUGGACCUUUGUUACUGUUCUUGUGGCUGCAGCUAGACUGUAUGGGUAGAGGAGAGAAAGUGGAGCAGAGUCCUCCUCUCUUGAGUAUCCAAGAUGGAGAGAGCUCUUUUUCCAAUUGCACUUAUACUGACAGUGCUUCCACCUACUUCCUUUGGUAUAAACAAGAACCUGGAAGAGGUCCUCAGUUACUUAUACAGAUUCUUGGAAACGCAGACAAGAAACAAGACCAAAGAUUCACUGUCCUACUGAAUAAGAAGGAGAAACAUUUCUCACUGCACAUUGCAGACCCUCAUCCUGGGGACUCAGCCACCUACUUCUGUGCAGUGAGAGCACAGUGCUCCCCAGACACCUGCAGCCUGUACCCAAAUCUGAGACUGAUCUGA
This is a non-coding RNA of Trichechus manatus latirostris (Florida manatee), 554 nucleotides long. Lineage: Eukaryota; Metazoa; Chordata; Mammalia; Sirenia; Trichechidae. The record is from the annotation of a RefSeq genome assembly.